This 311-nucleotide ribosomal RNA is filed under the name uncultured bacterium. RNAcentral's name for it is "bacterial SSU rRNA". It matches the Rfam family "Bacterial small subunit ribosomal RNA", at positions 28 to 334 of the family's 1533-position model. The record is from RNAcentral.
GACGAACGCUGGCGGCGCGCCUAACACAUGCAAGUCGAACGAGCGAGAGAGAGCUUGCUUUCUCGAGCGAGUGGCGAACGGGUGAGUAACGCGUGAGGAACCUGCCUCAAAGAGGGGGACAACAGUUGGAAACGACUGCUAAUACCGCAUAAGCCCACGACCCGGCAUCGGGUUGAGGGAAAAGGAGCAAUCCGCUUUGAGAUGGCCUCGCGUCCGAUUAGCUAGUUGGUGAGGUAACGGCUCACCAAGGCGACGAUCAGUAGCCGGUCUGAGAGGAUGAACGGCCACAUUGGGACUGAGAUACGGCCCAG